UACGUAGGGGGCAAGCGUUAUCCGGAUUUACUGGGUGUAAAGGGAGCGUAGACGGAAAGGCAAGUCAGAAGUGAAAGCCCAAGGCUCAACCAUGGGACUGCUUUUGAAACUGUCAAACUAGAGUACGGGAGAGGUAAGAGGAAUUCCUAGUGUAGCGGUGAAAUGCGUAGAUAUUAGGAGGAACACCAGUGGCGAAGGCGUCUUACUGGACUGUAACUGACGUUGAGGCUCGAAAGCGUGGGGAGCAAACAGG
RNAcentral lists this ribosomal RNA (253 nucleotides) under uncultured bacterium. RNAcentral describes it as "partial 16S ribosomal RNA". It matches the Rfam family "Bacterial small subunit ribosomal RNA", at positions 524 to 776 of the family's 1533-position model. The record is from RNAcentral.